CCUACGGGAGGCAGCAGUAGGGAAUCUUCCACAAUGGGGGAAACCCUGAAGCAGCAACGCCGCGUGGAGGAUGAAGGUUUUCGGAUCGUAAACUCCUGUUGUUAGAGAAGAUAAUGACGGUAUCUAACGAAUAAGCACCGGCUAACUCCGUGCCAGCAGCCGCGGUAAUACGGAGGGUGCAAGCGUUACUCGGAAUUACUGGGCGUAAAGCGCGCGUAGGCGGGAUGGCAAGUCAGGGGUGAAAUCCUAUGGCUUAACGUGGGAACUGCAUUUGAAACUGGCAAUCUAGAGUGUGUGAGAGGAAAGUGGAAUUCCAGGUGUAGGAGUGAAAUCCGUAGAUAGCUGGAGGAACAUUAGUGGCGAAGGCGACCAUCUGGCACAUAACUGACGCUGAGGAGCGAAAGCGUGGGUAGCAAACAGGAUUAGAUACCCGUGUAGUC
This 440-nucleotide ribosomal RNA is filed under the name uncultured bacterium. Its description in RNAcentral is "partial 16S ribosomal RNA". It matches the Rfam family "Bacterial small subunit ribosomal RNA", at positions 338 to 795 of the family's 1533-position model. The record is from RNAcentral.